AUGUAUGUAUGUAUAUACGUACAUAUGUAUACAUAUAUACGUACAUGUAUGUAUACAUAUGUGCGUAUACACACACACACACACACAUACAUAC
RNAcentral lists this microRNA precursor (94 nucleotides) under Olea europaea subsp. europaea. The record is from RNAcentral. Lineage: Eukaryota; Viridiplantae; Streptophyta; Magnoliopsida; Lamiales; Oleaceae.